This is a long non-coding RNA of Macaca mulatta (Rhesus monkey), 578 nucleotides long. The record is from Ensembl. NCBI's taxonomy places the organism in Eukaryota, Metazoa, Chordata, Mammalia, Primates, Cercopithecidae.
CUGGCUCCAUCUCAGGCUUUGCUCUCUAGUGAAUUGUCCUUCUUACUCUUCCUGGAGCAAAGGCCUGCAACGAGUCAUUUGCAUGGAUGCUUCCAAAGCAAGGUCCAGGCCUCAACAUCAUGCAGAGAACAUUGCAUCAUCCAGAGGCCAGCAUUGGAGCCUCCUGGAUAACUGCAGAAAUCACACCAAAAUGCCUAUCAACUCCCUCCCACCUCCCCGGGCGCCCUGUGAUCUUAUUUCGAGCAUUUUACAACGUACAUGUGCAGAGUUGGGCUUUAUUACAGACCAGUGAUACCAGGUACCAAAAUCUGAAAACUACACUGGGUUUAGUUCUGGAGACCCUGGUGAUCCCUUCCUUCCAAUCAAUUGAUCUUCCUUCUGUGGAAGAAUUGAAUAGAGAACUUUCCAUGAAGGUGAAACGUCAUCCUUUGAUCUCCAAUCCAUCCACUAUGCACCUGGACUGGACUAGCCUCAGGACACCAAGAUGGGACCUGAUUCCAGCAUUCAAGCAACUCCAUGUCUGUACAUACAAAACAUGAUUAAAAGGCAAUCAAAUAAAGACCACCGCCCCUUCUUCC